This 496-nucleotide ribosomal RNA is filed under the name uncultured bacterium. RNAcentral's name for it is "partial 16S ribosomal RNA". It matches the Rfam family "Bacterial small subunit ribosomal RNA", at positions 28 to 506 of the family's 1533-position model. The record is from RNAcentral.
GAUGAACGCUGGCGGCGUGCCUAAUACAUGCAAGUCGAGCGAACAGACGAGGAGCUUGCUCCUCUGACGUUAGCGGCGGACGGGUGGGUAACACGUGGAUAACCUACCUAUAAGACUGGGAUAACUUCGGGAAACCGGAGCUAAUACCGGAUAAUAUAUUGAACCGCAUGGUUCAAUAGUGAAAGACGGUUUUGCUGUCACUUAUAGAUGGAUCCGCGCCGCAUUAGCUAGUUGGUAAGGUAACGGCUUACCAAGGCAACGAUGCGUAGCCGACCUGAGAGGGUGAUCGGCCACACUGGAACUGAGACACGGUCCAGACUCCUACGGGAGGCAGCAGUAGGGAAUCUUCCGCAAUGGGCGAAAGCCUGACGGAGCAACGCCGCGUGAGUGAUGAAGGUCUUCGGAUCGUAAAACUCUGUUAUUAGGGAAGAACAAAUGUGUAAGUAACUAUGCACGUCUUGACGGUACCUAAUCAGAAAGCCACGGCUAACUACGU